This 459-nucleotide ribosomal RNA is filed under the name uncultured bacterium. RNAcentral's name for it is "partial 16S ribosomal RNA". It matches the Rfam family "Bacterial small subunit ribosomal RNA", at positions 339 to 795 of the family's 1533-position model. The record is from RNAcentral.
CUACGGGCUGCACCAGUGAGGAAUAUUGGGCAAUGGAGGAAACUCUGACCCAGCCAUGCCGCGUGCAGGAAGACGGCCCUAUGGGUUGUAAACUGCUUUUGUACGAGAAUAAACCUUUCCACGUGUGGAAAGCUGAAGGUACCGUACGAAUAAGGAUCGGCUAACUCCGUGCCAGCAGCCGCGGUAAUACGGAGGAUCCAAGCGUUAUCCGGAUUUAUUGGGUUUAAAGGGUCCGUAGGCGGGUUUUUAAGUCAGUGGUGAAAGCCUACAGCUCAACUGUAGAAUUGCCAUUGAUACUGGAGACCUUGAGUGUAGUAGAAGUAGGCGGAAUAAGGCAUGUAGCGGUGAAAUGCAUAGAUAUGCCUUAGAACACCGAUUGCGAAGGCAGCUUACUAUGUUACAACUGACGCUGAGGGACGAAAGCGUGGGGAGCGAACAGGAUUAGAUACCCGGGUAGUC